AAACUUAACAAGCCGAAUCCUCACUUUCGAAGAGGAACGGAGGACCCAAUCUUGGGGUGAACCCGCGACAACACGUCAGCGGGCGGGAACCUUCUUCCCGAAUCCGUCAGCUAACUCCGCAGGCUUUUAGAAGGGAAGUG
RNAcentral lists this small RNA (140 nucleotides) under Tumebacillus flagellatus. Its description in RNAcentral is "c-di-AMP sequence". It matches the Rfam family "c-di-AMP riboswitch aptamer (ydaO/yuaA leader)". From Rfam's summary of the family: This family represents a conserved RNA structure found upstream of the ydaO and yuaA genes in Bacillus subtilis and related genes in other bacteria. The record is from Rfam by way of RNAcentral. Lineage: Bacteria; Bacillati; Bacillota; Bacilli; Caryophanales; Alicyclobacillaceae.